CCUCGCGACACGCACGGGGCUGGGGUCCCGCGCCCUCCCUGCAGGUGGAUGCUCGCUUGCUCGAGUGGGCCGUGCCGGGUUCUGGGGCUCCCCCGCGAGGAGCCGGGACCCGCGCCCCCGGGCUUCGCCACCGGGCGCCGAGCCGCGUGGACCGCCGAGGGUCGCUGCGUGAGAACGCCAGCAGCAGCCCGAGUCCUCUGGUUUAGCCAAACCCCGCGAGCCCCAGCCCCUGAAGACGGGCAUCCGGAAGGGGGUCCCCUGGCUCCAGGAAGGGAGCACUGGAACGGGGGCGCCCUCCAGGUCCUCGCUGCCUGGUGAGCGCCGAAGCCACGCUCACCUCCAGCGCACUUCAAAUUGAAAUGUCCCCAAUUGGGGAAAUAUUUAUUUGCAAAUGUUCAAGGAAAUGUCACAGAAAAAUCUGUUCAGUUGCGGAAAAUGGCCCUGUCCUUGGCGCUGACCCCAGAAGGCAGGAGGAGAGCCGGCCCUGAGCAACGAAGCUGUUGGCGUCUCCAUCCUGCCCGCUGGACCGGCAGUGCUUCCUCCCCUGCCUCUCAAGUCCUGUCCUCUGGGGGCUUCCUCCGGGCUUCCGGGAGUCCCUGCCAAGUGAUGGCAGAGAGACGUGGUUUUGGAAGACGGGCCGCCGCGCUGCUGUGCCCUGUCCUGCCUCAGGAGAGACAGACCACAGACUAGACGGUGUUCUCGGAGGGACCUGCCAGAGAAGUACCCAGUGAGGAAAUGGCCCUAGGUCCUUCCCAAGACAGCUCCUCUCUGGACAUGCUGGUGACACCCAGGGCCUGCUUUUUGCCCGUGAAGUCGUCCACCCUCAUGCCCAUGCAGCACGCGGUAUCCAUGGGCCAGAGUCCUCUGUGACCCAUCCUCCCCCGCAUUGUCAUGGGGCCGUACCCCCACAAACGGCUCUCUGAGCCUGACAGCACUGAGUGCCGCUUCCCUCGAGCGACAGGAAGGAGGGACUCCCGGGAUGGUAGCACGCCUCUGGACAUUUCAGAUACAUCUCGAGGAUCCUUCCGCGUCCUGAGGCUGCCCUCGCCAUGGGGAGACGGCAGAGCCCCGCUGCGCAGAC
Long non-coding RNA from Mustela erminea (ermine), 1081 nucleotides. RefSeq lists it as uncharacterized. The transcript is spliced from 4 exons. The record is from RefSeq and is a predicted model, not a curated record. Lineage: Eukaryota; Metazoa; Chordata; Mammalia; Carnivora; Mustelidae.